GCCGGAUUAGCUCAGUGGUAGAGCAACGGUUUUGUAAACCGUCGGUCGUCGGUUCGAAUCCGACAUCCGGCU
This 72-nucleotide transfer RNA is filed under the name Chthoniobacterales bacterium. RNAcentral's name for it is "tRNA-Thr". It matches the Rfam family "tRNA". From Rfam's summary of the family: Transfer RNA (tRNA) molecules are approximately 80 nucleotides in length. Their secondary structure includes four short double-helical elements and three loops (D, anti-codon, and T loops). The record is from RNAcentral. Lineage: Bacteria; Pseudomonadati; Verrucomicrobiota; Spartobacteria; Chthoniobacterales.